CCUACGGGUGGCAGCAGUGGGGGAUAUUGCACAAUGGGGGAAACCCUGAUGCAGCGACGCCGCGUGGGUGAAGAAGCGCCUCGGCGCGUAAAGCCCUGUCAGCAGGGAAGAAAAUGACGGUACCUGAAGAAGUAGCCCCGGCCAACUACGUGCCAGCAGCCGCGGUAAUACGUAGGGGGCAAGCGUUAUCCGGAUUUACUGGGUGUAAAGGGGGCGCAGACGGCGGUGCAAGCCAGGAGUGAAAGCCCGGGGCGCAACCCCGGGACUGCACUUGAAACUGCGUGGCGAGAGUGCAGGAGGGGCGGGCGGAAUUCCUGGUGUAGCGGUGAAAUGCGUAGAUAUCAGGAGGAACACCGGUGGCGAAGGCGGCCUGCUGGACUGCAACUGACGUUGAGGCGCGAAAGCGUGGGGAGCAAACAGGAUUAGAUACCCUUGUAGUC
Molecule: ribosomal RNA, 440 nt
Filed under: uncultured bacterium
Lineage: Bacteria
Description: partial 16S ribosomal RNA
Rfam family: Bacterial small subunit ribosomal RNA
Source: RNAcentral